UGGUGGAAGUUGUCAGACACGUUAAUCGCAUGAGAUGACAGCCAUGAAAGGGCCUUCUCCAGAUUGAAGAACAAGAUACAUUGUAUGCUACCACUUGAGUUAUAAUAUUUUCUUUCAUUGAAGAUGCUUGGAUCCUGAUAACCUGACUUCUGCAUUAACUUGUGACAUACGCUAGCAUGACCUCUUCUCUAGUUUUGUUAACACUUUUUUAUCCUGACUGUCAACCUCGACCUAGAUUCAACACUUUGAUCUUUUAUUUUAGCUUCUGCCUAUUUGGAAUUUUGAUAAUAAUAUAAUAAUUCUGGACACACAAACCAUUGAUGACUGUUCAAAUAUAUUGCUGGGUUUUCUCUAUAGGACAGUUGCUUCAAUAAUACGUGUUGGGACAACCCAUUUUGCUAUCCCGAUUUGCACUCGACGCACGAUAUCUCCGACUCGACAAUGGCACCCGACUAUGUAUCGCCGACCGAUGUCCGGCCGAAUGGUCUAAUCGGUCAAAAGAGUUGACAAUUUGCCACACCGACUACCUUAUCAGCAUUCGACACCAACAACCUAUCGCCGAUUGUCUACUCAAGCCGUGACCGACUAAGACAACCCGACAUUCAGUCCGUAGCGGCACCCUAUCGGCAUCCAGUCGGUAACGGCAUCCUGUUGGCAUGCCAUCGACGAUACCAUCGACGAUUCUGACAUAACAUUGGGAUCACCGACUACCUAUCGGUAUCACCGACCCCCAG
Molecule: long non-coding RNA, 734 nt
Filed under: Elaeis guineensis (African oil palm)
Lineage: Eukaryota; Viridiplantae; Streptophyta; Magnoliopsida; Arecales; Arecaceae
Description: long non-coding RNA (EGUI_LNC027302)
Source: RNAcentral